This 433-nucleotide ribosomal RNA is filed under the name uncultured bacterium. Its description in RNAcentral is "partial 16S ribosomal RNA". It matches the Rfam family "Bacterial small subunit ribosomal RNA", at positions 29 to 507 of the family's 1533-position model. The record is from RNAcentral.
AACGAACGCUGGCGGCAUGCCUAACACAUGCAAGUCGAACGAGACCUUCGGGUCUAGUGGCGCACGGGUGCGUAACGCGUGGGAACCUGCCCUUAGGUUCGGAAUAACUCCCCGAAAGGGGUGCUAAUACCGGAUAAUGUCUUCGGACCAAAGAUUUAUCGCCUUUGGAUGGGCCCGCGUUGGAUUAGCUAGUUGGUAGGGUAAAAGCCUACCAAGGCGACGAUCCAUAGCUGGUCUGAGAGGAUGAUCAGCCACACUAGGACUGAGACACGGCCCAGACUCCUACGGGAGGCAGCAGUGGGGAAUAUUGGACAAUGGGCGAAAGCCUGAUCCAGCAAUGCCGCGUGAGUGAUGAAGGCCUUAGGGUUGUAAAGCUCUUUUAACCGGGAUGAUAAUGACAGUACCGGGAGAAUAAGCUCCGGCUAACUCCGUG